RNAcentral lists this ribosomal RNA (303 nucleotides) under Clostridioides difficile. Its description in RNAcentral is "bacterial SSU rRNA". It matches the Rfam family "Bacterial small subunit ribosomal RNA", at positions 416 to 737 of the family's 1533-position model. Lineage: Bacteria; Bacillati; Bacillota; Clostridia; Peptostreptococcales; Peptostreptococcaceae. The record is from RNAcentral.
CUUCGGGUCGUAAAACUCUGUCCUCAAGGAAGAUAAUGACGGUACUUGAGGAGGAAGCCCCGGCUAACUACGUGCCAGCAGCCGCGGUAAUACGUCGGGGGCUAGCGUUAUCCGGAUUUACUGGGCGUAAAGGGUGCGUAGGCGGUCUUUCAAGUCAGGAGUGAAAGGCUACGGCUCAACCGUAGUAAGCUCUUGAAACUGGGAGACUUGAGUGCAGGAGAGGAGAGUGGAAUUCCUAGUGUAGCGGUGAAAUGCGUAGAUAUUAGGAGGAACACCAGUUGCGAAGGCGGCUCUCUGGACUGU